GGCUCCGCGGUGUGGUGAAGUACCCGCUCGGGUCGUCGUGCCGCCGCGGAUGGCUGUAACUGCUCGACAUGUGCUGCGACAAACAUUUGACUCCUGAAACAAAAAAUGUCCAUAAAACAGUUCGUCUCGCAGUCCGACCCCGCUUCUGGUCCUGAUGGAGAAGUUUUGAGUCUCCUGCGCACUUUAGCACUUGUUAUUCACCAGGAUCAACACAGUGAAGACAACUGGGAGCUUCUUCCGGUCACACAUUUCAAAAUAAGGAGGAAAAAUGAGCAUGAGAUAAACACAAAGGGACACUGAGGCUUCUCAUCAAAUGAACAGCGUGACGACACCUGCAGCAUUUCCAGGUUGGGUCCCCUGAAGUUGUGACGGACUGAUGCUGCGUACUGUCCAGAAGUUCAUUUGCAGCAUCGAUCCCAUGACUGACCACAAAAUAGAGUAUUUACUAAAAUAAAAAAUAAAUCUGAUGAA
This is a long non-coding RNA of Micropterus salmoides (largemouth bass), 471 nucleotides long. RefSeq lists it as uncharacterized. The transcript has 4 exons. The record is from RefSeq and is a predicted model, not a curated record. NCBI's taxonomy places the organism in Eukaryota, Metazoa, Chordata, Actinopteri, Centrarchiformes, Centrarchidae.